UACAGAGGUCUCAAGCGUUGUUCGGAUUCAUUGGGCGUAAAGGGUGCGUAGGCGGCGCGGUAAGUCGGGUGUGAAAUCUCGGGGCUUAACUCCGAAACUGCACUCGAUACUGCUUUGCUUGAGGACUGGAGAGGAGAUUGGAAUUCACGGUGUAGCAGUGAAAUGCGUAGAUAUCGUGAGGAAGACCAGUGGCGAAGGCGGAUCUCUGGACAGUUCCUGACGCUGAGGCGCGAAGGCCAGGGGAGCAAACGGG
RNAcentral lists this ribosomal RNA (253 nucleotides) under uncultured bacterium. Its description in RNAcentral is "partial 16S ribosomal RNA". It matches the Rfam family "Bacterial small subunit ribosomal RNA", at positions 524 to 776 of the family's 1533-position model. The record is from RNAcentral.